CUACGGGUCGCUGCAGUGAGGAAUAUUGCACAAUGGAGGAAACUCUGAUGCAGCAACGCCGCGUGGAGGAUGACGCAUUUCGGUGUGUAAACUCCUUUUAUAUGUCAAGAAAAUGACGGUAGCAUAUGAAUAAGCACCGGCUAACUCCGUGCCAGCAGCCGCGGUAAUACGGAGGGUGCAAGCGUUACUCGGAAUCACUGGGCGUAAAGGACGCGUAGGCGGGAUAUCAAGUCAGGUGUGAAAUCCUACAGCUUAACUGUAGAACUGCACUUGAAACUGGUAACCUAGAGUAUGGGAGGGGGAGAUGGAAUUAGUGGUGUAGGGGUAAAAUCCGUAGAUAUCACUAGGAAUACCUAAAGCGAAGGCGAUCUCCUGGAACAUAACUGACGCUAAGGCGUGAAAGCGUGGGGAGCAAACAGGAUUAGAUACCCGAGUAGUC
This 439-nucleotide ribosomal RNA is filed under the name uncultured bacterium. RNAcentral describes it as "partial 16S ribosomal RNA". It matches the Rfam family "Bacterial small subunit ribosomal RNA", at positions 339 to 795 of the family's 1533-position model. The record is from RNAcentral.